RNAcentral lists this ribosomal RNA (492 nucleotides) under uncultured bacterium. Its description in RNAcentral is "bacterial SSU rRNA". It matches the Rfam family "Bacterial small subunit ribosomal RNA", at positions 28 to 531 of the family's 1533-position model. The record is from RNAcentral.
GAUGAACGCUGGCGGCGCGCCUAACACAUGCAAGUCGAACGGGAACACCCGUAGCAAUAUGGGUGUUUUAGUGGCGGACGGGUGAGUAACGCGUGAGGAACCUGCCUUUCGGAGGGGAAUAACACAUCGAAAGAUGUGCUAAUACCGCAUAAUGUCAUCGGGCGGCAUCGCCUGAUGACCAAAAGAGCAAUCUGCCGAAAGAUGGCCUCGCGUCCGAUUAGAUAGUUGGUGGGGUAACGGCCCACCAAGUCUGCGAUCGGUAGCCGGACUGAGAGGUUGAACGGCCACAUUGGGACUGAGACACGGCCCAGACUCCUACGGGAGGCAGCAGUGGGGGAUAUUAGUCAAUGGAGGGAACUCUGAUGCAGCGACGCCGCGUGAGUGAAGAAGGUCUUCGGAUCGUAAAACUCUGUCCUUGGUGAAGAAAAGGACGGUAGCCAAGGAGGAAGCCCCGGCUAACUACGUGCCAGCAGCCGCGGUAACUAGUCUACG